This 310-nucleotide unclassified non-coding RNA is filed under the name Hevea brasiliensis (rubber tree). Lineage: Eukaryota; Viridiplantae; Streptophyta; Magnoliopsida; Malpighiales; Euphorbiaceae. The record is from RNAcentral.
GGAAAUGGCUCCACUGCUUCUGUGUAAUGACUUUAAACUUUGGACAAAAUCUAAUGUAUUAUGAUAGUUGCUUUUGUUGGUGAAGAGAUUUCUAAUACGAGAGUUUUUGAUACUCUGAACCUCUAUUUGACAUGAGGAAACAGGUUUAUAUGUAUAUUGUGUGUUAGAAUUAUAAGUCAAAAUAUUAGUGGAUUUUGGAGAGAACUUUUUCUAAUUUAGUGUGAGAAAUAUUUCUUAAUAGAAUUAAGAAAUAUUUCUUAAUAGAAUUAAGAAUUAUUUCCUAUAUUAGAGUAGAACUCCUAUUUUAGUG